UCGAACGAUGAAGCCCUUCGGGGUGGAUUAGUGGCGAACGGGUGAGUAACACGUGGGCAAUCUGCCCUUCACUCUGGGACAAGCCCUGGAAACGGGGUCUAAUACCGGAUAACACUCCUGCAGGCAUGUGUGGGGGUUGAAAGCUCCGGCGGUGAAGGAUGAGCCCGCGGCCUAUCAGCUUGUUGGUGAGGUAGAAGCUCACCAAGGCGACGACGGGUAGCCGGCCUGAGAGGGCGACCGGCCACACUGGGACUGAGACACGGCCCAGACUCCUACGGGAGGCAGCAGUGGGGAAUAUUGCACAAUGGGCGAAAGCCUGAUGCAGCGACGCCGCGUGAGGGAUGACGGCCUUCGGGUUGUAAACCUCUUUCAGCAGGGAAGAAGCGAAAGUGACGGUACCUGCAGAAGAAGCGCCGGCUAACUACGUGCCAGCAGCCGCGGUAAUACGUAGGGCGCAAGCGUUGUCCGGAAUUAUUGGGCGUAAAGAGCUCGUAGGCGGUCUGUCACGUCGGAUGUGAAAGCCCGGGGCUUAACCCCGGGUCUGCAUUCGAUACGGGCAGACUAGAGUGUGGUAGGGGAGAUCGGAAUUCCUGGUGUAGCGGUGAAAUGCGCAGAUAUCAGGAGGAACACCGGUGGCGAAGGCGGAUCUCUGGGCCAUUACUGACGCUGAGGAGCGAAAGCGUGGGGAGCGAACAGGAUUAGAUACCCUGGUAGUCCACGCCGUAAACGGUGGGAACUAGGUGUUGGCGACAUUCCACGUCGUCGGUGCCGCAGCUAACGCAUUAAGUUCCCCGCCUGGGGAGUACGGCCGCAAGGCUAAAACUCAAAGGAAUUGACGGGGGCCCGCACAAGCAGCGGAGCAUGUGGCUUAAUUCGACGCAACGCGAAGAACCUUACCAAGGCUUGACAUCGCCCGGAAAGCAU
RNAcentral lists this ribosomal RNA (924 nucleotides) under Streptomyces umbrinus. Its description in RNAcentral is "bacterial SSU rRNA". It matches the Rfam family "Bacterial small subunit ribosomal RNA", at positions 62 to 1000 of the family's 1533-position model. Lineage: Bacteria; Bacillati; Actinomycetota; Actinomycetes; Kitasatosporales; Streptomycetaceae. The record is from RNAcentral.